Long non-coding RNA from Podarcis muralis (Common wall lizard), 746 nucleotides. RefSeq lists it as uncharacterized. Lineage: Eukaryota; Metazoa; Chordata; Lepidosauria; Squamata; Lacertidae. The record is from RefSeq and is a predicted model, not a curated record.
UCCUUCUCCAAAAUUAAAUUAAAAAGCCUUGCCAUCACCUUUGGGUGCCCAUUUUUGGAAGCUGAAUUUGGAUGGGCACCGGUCAGAGAUUCCUGCAUUGCAGGGGUUUGACACUUGGGGUAUCUUCCAAUGUUGAAACUCAGAACCUCAUGAACCUCAGAGCGCAUGAACCUGAGGGCUUGCCACAUACAUCUUGCAAAUGACGGUUGGCAACCCAGUAGAUUUCAACAGUCCUCGAGGCACCUAUAAUUUGUAUCAUCCCUCCUUCCCCAGUCCACUUGGCUUCUGGUACCUCCAGGAUUCCCACCAACCUCCAGCCAUGAAGAUCUUCUGCCUCCUCUCUGUUGCCGUCCUCUUCUUGAUGCUGCUGGCUCCAGAUUUCACCAGAGCCAAAGUUGCUGUUCCGAUAUGUGAACGUAUCGGUGGGAAAUGCAUAAGAUGGUGCCCGAAGCCACUUUUUAUGUGUUCAUCUGUCCUAAUGUGUUGCCGUUAAGGAUACUAACUCUGCAGAUCUCCGGUGCAAGACCUCUGGUGAAAGGAAGACCACCCUGCUCUCCUCUGAUGUGCAGCUGCCUCGACUGCACCCCCAUCUCUGCUGGGGAAGAAACCGCUUUGCUUGAUGCUGCUGAAGGUGAUGCUGGGAAGGAGUCAAGUGGGAGCCAUCCUGUCUACCUGUCUACUCAUGAGUAAGCCCACUGUGUCCAGUGGGUUCUGACUCCUUAGUAAAUGGAUUCGGGAUUGGAGCU